CGUGCAUGCAGUAUCCAGAACUGAGCAGUUAUAGAGUUGAAUGUCAGAGGUCAUUAAAAGGGCCAUCGUCUUAACAAUUGUUGAAUCUGUGUAAAACAUAUUUGCCAAUUAAACCAAGAUUUUCACAUAAAAAAGACCCUCAUCCAACAGGGGACACAGCACACACUAUUUUCGUACUCUCUGAGCCAUAAGUAGAGCGAAUACCCAC
Molecule: non-coding RNA, 208 nt
Organism: Pelobates cultripes (western spadefoot toad)
Lineage: Eukaryota; Metazoa; Chordata; Amphibia; Anura; Pelobatidae
Source: the annotation of a GenBank genome assembly